This 615-nucleotide long non-coding RNA is filed under the name Macaca mulatta (Rhesus monkey). Its description in RNAcentral is "lncRNA (ENSMMUG00000062228.1)". The record is from RNAcentral. Lineage: Eukaryota; Metazoa; Chordata; Mammalia; Primates; Cercopithecidae.
CAACCCUGUCAUUUUUCUUUGCAGUGAGAACAUAUCUGAUCAAGUAAACAUUACUACUCAAGGCUUUCAUAAAACAUUGAACAUAUAAUUUGAGUUUCUCCAAGCAGCCAAACCUUCUUUAACUUUGAAAAUUUUGCAUAUUUACUAAUGAUGAAUUCUGCGGAGAUCUGUGCUGGACAGCCUGGGAAAGGAUUGAGCUGAUCUAUUUCUCCAUUACAUUCUUUCCAAGAUGCUUAAAAAUAUGCCAGAUGAUCCCUACAUCUUUUGGAAGAGGUCCAAGUAUCAAGCAGUUGGAGACACAGGGAAAGGGUAGUAUAAUGCCCAGAAAGUGACUUGAACAAAUUUACACAGAAGGCAGUGAAGUGUGAUUCAAAUUCAAGCAGUCUAGACCCUGCUCCACACAACUCUGCAGCAUAACCUUGCAGUAUGAAAAUGAUGCCUCUCAUGCAGGCAUAGAACCCAACUGGUACGCCUCCAGGAAAAAAAGCAUAAAAGCCUUUUGUCGUGUAGCCCACUGGAGAAUCUGGAGUUUCAACAACCUCAAUUGCUCAUUUACCCCUAUUUUUGUCAAAGGCAUAUUUUCAUAAACAUUCCCAUACUAAAUCUUGGAGGAAC